Molecule: long non-coding RNA, 386 nt
Filed under: Phoenix dactylifera (date palm)
Lineage: Eukaryota; Viridiplantae; Streptophyta; Magnoliopsida; Arecales; Arecaceae
Description: long non-coding RNA (PDAC_LNC004581)
Source: RNAcentral
GUCCGGUUUCCUUUUGGGUAAUUAGGUGCCUCCUAAUCCGUGAUACCAGACAAGGGAGGAAGAGGAAAGAAGAAAGUAGGUGCGACUAAGCGGAUCACCAUGCUGUUUUAGGCUCGGCUUGAUAGAAAAGUAGGGCUAGCUCUGCUAAUUCAAUAAAAGUGCUAACGCAAAACACUUUGAACUUCGAAAGAGAAGUAAAAUUAAAGCUCAAACUCCAUCUCUAAGCAAAUUAUUUGUUAAGAAAAAAAAGAUAAACUUCAGUGUUCAUAGUUCAGCUCUCCUUGAGUUUAGCAUGAGAUUAGGUACUCUUCCAUUUGAGAGGCCAAGUCCCAAGCCUAAUUUGGCUAGGCUCUACUUGGCUUAAAUAAAUAUAAUGUAUCAAAGUG